CCUACGGGAGGCAGCAGUGGGGAAUAUUGGACAAUUGGCGAAAGCCUGAUCCAGCCAUGCCGCGUGUGUGAAGAAGGCCUUCGGGUUGUAAAGCACUUUCAGUGGGGAAGAAAGCCUUGGGGCUAAUACCCUCGAGGAAGGACAUCACCCACAGAAGAAGCACCGGCUAACUCCGUGCCAGCAGCCGCGGUAAUACGGAGGGUGCGAGCGUUAAUCGGAAUUACUGGGCGUAAAGCGCGCGUAGGCGGUCUGAUAAGCCGGUUGUGAAAGCCCCGGGCUCAACCUGGGAACGGCAUCCGGAACUGUCAGGCUAGAGUGCAGGAGAGGAAGGUAGAAUUCCCGGUGUAGCGGUGAAAUGCGUAGAGAUCGGGAGGAAUACCAGUGGCGAAGGCGGUCUUCUGGACUGACACUGACGCUGAGGUGCGAAAGCGUGGGUAGCAAACAGGAUUAGAUACCCGAGUAGUC
This 465-nucleotide ribosomal RNA is filed under the name Vreelandella stevensii. RNAcentral's name for it is "partial 16S ribosomal RNA". It matches the Rfam family "Bacterial small subunit ribosomal RNA", at positions 338 to 795 of the family's 1533-position model. The record is from RNAcentral. Lineage: Bacteria; Pseudomonadati; Pseudomonadota; Gammaproteobacteria; Oceanospirillales; Halomonadaceae.